UGGUGCAGGCAGCUCUAGAGCUGAGCUGGGGGCCAUGUGCUGGAGCAAAGCACCCACAAUGGAUGCGGUUGGGGAACCUGCCCUGGCCUGGUAUCUCUGGAUGCCUGGUGAGGCUAUGCUGGUGUGUGGCACUGGGCUUCUACUGCAUGAGGAAGGAACAGCAGGAACCUCUGCAGGCUCUGGCUGCCUCCCUUGUGGUGAUAGAGGCAUGAGGCAUUUUUGGGAGCGAUCUCACAGUGGUGCACCUUGGGGCCAGGCUCUGCUUGAGCUGCGAGCCCAGCGCCUGGAGAGCGCAGCUCGGAACGGCACCGGGGUGGGAGCUCGUCGAACGCGCCCGGAGGCGACACCUGCGCGACCCCGCAGUGGGGAUGGCACUCGGCGGCUCGGGUCCUUCCCGGGGCAGAACUGGCUCCAGGCAGCAGCCCAGCCCGGAGCCUGCCGCAGCCCCGCCUCGGGGACACUCCUGCCUGGUGAUCGCUUAGCUGCUGGCAGGCAGCAGAGCUGCGGCGCUGGGGGACGCUGUGGUGGCUUGCCCCAGUGCCCCAGGGCAGAGGUCAGCCCGGUCCCGGUGGAGCUGUGGUCUCUGCCUGCG
Molecule: long non-coding RNA, 592 nt
Organism: Pogoniulus pusillus (Red-fronted tinkerbird)
Lineage: Eukaryota; Metazoa; Chordata; Aves; Piciformes; Lybiidae
Exons: 2
Source: RefSeq, a predicted model, not a curated record